GACGAACGCUGGCGGCGUGCUUAACACAUGCAAGUCGAGCGGUAAGGCCUUUCGGGGUACACGAGCGGCGAACGGGUGAGUAACACGUGGGUGACCUGCCCUCCACUUCGGGAUAAGCCUGGGAAACCGGGUCUAAUACCGGAUAGGACCAUAUGAUGCAUGUCGUGUGGUGGAAAGUUGUGUCGGUGGGGGAUGGGCCCGCGGUCUAUCAGCUGGUUGGUGGGGUGAUGGCCUACCAAGGCGACGACGGAUAGCCGGCCUGAGAGGGUGAUCGGCCACACUGGGACUGAGACACGGCCCAGACUCCUACGGGAGGCAGCAGUGGGGAAUCUUGCGCAAUGGGCGGAAGCCUGACGCAGCAACGCCGCGUGGGGAUGACGGCCUGGUGU
This 389-nucleotide ribosomal RNA is filed under the name uncultured bacterium. Its description in RNAcentral is "bacterial SSU rRNA". It matches the Rfam family "Bacterial small subunit ribosomal RNA", at positions 28 to 422 of the family's 1533-position model. The record is from RNAcentral.